Molecule: long non-coding RNA, 3218 nt
Filed under: Homo sapiens (human)
Lineage: Eukaryota; Metazoa; Chordata; Mammalia; Primates; Hominidae
Description: non-protein coding lnc-RPP38-6:3
Source: RNAcentral
AGACUCAAAUAGCAACUGGAGAUGGUAAGAGGUGAGGCUCCCUCUCCUCCUGGUUGGGAAAGAGGAAGUACAUAACCCCAAUAGCUGCCCGCAGCUAUCAGGAGGCGCGUGGAACGUGACAGCAGUAUGGACGCUCCCCGAGACAGCCUGUGUGUGACUUUGGCGGCUCCUAAUGACCUGUACUCCCUGGUGCUCAUGUCCUGGCAUCGUCACCUCCCUCACUGACUCUGAGCUUGGCCAUGCGUCUAACCUUGGUCAACGGAACAUCAGCCAACGUCUAACCUCGGCCAACGGAACAUCAGCCAUGCGUCCAACCUUGGCCAACGGAACAAGUGAAGGUGAAGAAACUAAGAAUCAGAGGAGUUCUAACUGAGCCAUGAGGACUCGAUUCCUGAAAACCUUAUUUAUAAAAAACAGGAAUGGGAACUAAAACAAGGCAACCUGUGCAAGCCCUUACAAGUUUUUCAUGUAUUACAGUAAAAGGUAAAGCAACUUAAAAACCACUUGACAUUUUUUAACAUUUGUAAAAUUUUGUAAUGCACAGUUGUCUCUCAUUUACCAUCCCUUGCUAGAAACUUCUUAGGCUCACCCUUCACUGCAUUUCCAACAUUAUUUUGCUGAUAAUGUAUACGCCCAAGUGACAUGUUUUCAUUUGGCUUAACUUUCAAUGCCUUUUUGAUUUUAUGAUCUAGUCCUUUAUUGCUGGACCCUUGAAUUGUAUCUAGUCUUCUGCUAUUACAAAAAAUGCUGAAUCAAAUAAACCUGAACAUGUAACAUCAUAAACGUGCAGUUAUAUUUGCACAGCAGGUCACCAGAGUGGGAUGGCUGGGUCAAAGAAAGGUUUAUUUAACCUGAACAGUAUUUCUUAAAACCCUCUUUCCUUUUUCUGAUACAUUACCAAUACAGCCUUAGCUCUAUAAUUAACUCUUAUGCCAAAGCUAGGACUGCAGUGUUGGCUCUCAGAUUUAGGGAGCAAUUGCUGACAUGUGGGUUAUUAUUAUUCCUCAGUUCCCUUUAUCACUCCCAAACCUUAGUUGCAGAUUUCUACAUUUAUUCUAGUAUAAGCUUUAGCUCCCUUAACUAUUUCUAACACAUUUUUCUUUUUCAAUUGUCUCCGUUAGACUGUUGAAAUUUAUAGAUGAACACCAUAACCUUUGAAAUUCUGGCUGAGAAGGUACAUGGUUACAGAUUCAAAUUUUAUGCAGAGGGGAACUUACAGGGGCACAAAAUCAGGAUACAGUUAUUCUUUCUAUUCGCCAUCUGUUACAUUCUCAACCUUUUUUUGCGGUCACCAAUGAAUGAGGAAAAGUUCUGAAAUGAGUUUUAAGAUACUGCUGGUAAUUUCUAAGUAUUAUUUAAAACUAUGAUCUAAACAGAAGAAAAGGGAGUAUCAGGUUACUUUUUUCUGGGUUAAAUCUUUUUGGGGGAAAGGUAGUAGAAAUGUAACUGAAGCGUUACUUCAAUAUUGCUACAAAGUAAAGUUUGGGAAAUUAUCGCUGUUUACAUAGUAGAGGGAAGCAAGUAGAAUUCCAGAUUUUAGCCAUAGAAGGUUUAGAUCAGAUUCUCUGGCAUUAAGGAGCUGACAGUUCAGGAGUGUAAAAAGAAUUUAAAGUAAACUACCUGAUGCCUUGUCUCUAAGUGCCAAGUGUUUUUUUUUUUUUUUUAAAUACUCUGCUAGUGGUUGGGCACGGUGUGUCACGCCUGUAAUCCCAGGACUUUGGGAGGCCAAGGUGGGCAGAUAACGAGGUCAGGACUUAGUUAGAGACCAGACUGGCCAACAUGGUGAAACCCCAUCUCUACUACAAAUACAAAAAAUAGCUGGGUGUGGUGGCAGGCUCCUGUUAACCCAGCUACUUGGGAGGCUGAGGCAGGAAAAUCAUUUGAACCUGUGAGGCGGAGGUUGCAGUGAACCAAGAUCAUGCCAUUGCACUCCAGCCUGGGCAACAGGGCAAGACUCUGUCUCAAAAACAAACAAACAAACAAAAAACCACUAUGCCAACGUAGAAAGAAAUUAAAGUAAACCUUAAUGAAAAGUAUACCACACAUCUCUUUCUUGCCUGUGGUUCUGAACAGGCUAUACAAGCUCACCUGCUAUAGAAAGAGCAUUUGGAACUUAGGCAAAAAUCUCGGUGGACUCUAGUUAACAUGUGUUCAUUUAGAGCAGGGUUUGGCAAGCAUUUUUCUGUAAUGGGCCACAGAGUAAAUUUUUAUAGUAAAUUUUUAUGUUUUGCAGGGCAUAUGGUCUUAGCAGCAAAACACAUGGCCAUGGCUAUGUUCCAAUAAAACUUUACUGAAGCAGGUGGUGACUUUAUUUGGCCUGAGGGCCAUUUGCUGACCUAUGAUUUAGAUAAUAUAUUACAUAUUUUUUCCCCCAAAUGCUCUAACAUUUAUUUAUUUUUUUUAGAUGGAAUCUUGCUCUGUUGCCCAGGCUGGAGUGCAGUGGUGUGAUCUUGCCUCACUGCAACCUCCACCUCCCAGGUUCAAGCAAAUCUCUGCCCCAGCCUCCCUAGUAGCUGGGAUUACAGGCAUCCACCACCAUGCCCGGCUAAUUUUUGUAUUUUUAGUAGAGACCGGGUUUCACUAUCUUGGCCAGGCUGGUCUUGAACUCCUGACCUCAUGAUCCACCCACCUCAGGUUCCUAAAGUGCUGGGAUUACAGGCUUGAGCCACUGCAACCAGCCUUUAACAUUUAUUAAACAUGCCAACUUUUUGAUAUAUGGGGGGAGUAAAGACAUCUUAAUCACUUUUACAGAUUUUACAAAGAAUAUAUUUUGGCUAUUAGCAGAAAUAGAAAAGAGGGCACAGAAUUCUAGCUAGAAGGAACGGAAUCAGGAAAGGCAGGGAGAUGUGACUUCAUAGCACACAGGGAAACUGAAAAAGGUGAACAGGACUGAGAACUGUGACAGAAAAGGAGGACUUAGGAAGGGAAAUGAGCUUUGACAGAAGAAUGAAUUUGAUUUUCGAACUUUUAGAGUUUGGAGGUAAUGGUUAAACAUCCAAGUAGAAUACAUGGAGUUAUCUUAAUACUUGGCACACUACGAACACUCACUGUUAGCUAACUGCGAGCUUCUCGUGAGCUAUUAGAAAUAGAAUAUUAGUGUUAGACUGAGGUUACGGCUGGGGAACUUGCAAGGGAAAAUAUUGAAAACUUAUGGAAGCAGAUUCCUUCAAAGAACUAAGAAGCGAGUACAGUUGAUCCUCAAACAACAUGGAUAUGAA